Molecule: ribosomal RNA, 451 nt
Filed under: uncultured bacterium
Lineage: Bacteria
Description: bacterial SSU rRNA
Rfam family: Bacterial small subunit ribosomal RNA
Source: RNAcentral
AAUGAACGCUGGCGGCAGGCCUAACACAUGCAAGUCGAACGGGUCCUUCGGGACUAGUGGCGGACGGGUGAGUAACGCGUGGGAACAUACCCUUUGGUACGGAAUAGCCUCGGGAAACUGGGAGUAAUACCGUAUGUGGUCGAGAGACGAAAGAUUUAUCGCCAAAGGAUUGGCCCGCGUUGGAUUAGGUAGUUGGUGGGGUAAAUGGCCUACCAAGCCGACGAUCCAUAGCUGGUUUGAGAGGAUGAUCAGCCACACUGGGACUGAGACACGGCCCAGACUCCUACGGGAGGCAGCAGUGGGGAAUCUUAGACAAUGGGGGAAACCCUGAUCUAGCCAUGCCGCGUGAUCGAUGAAGGCCUUAGGGUUGUAAAGAUCUUUCAGGUGGGAAGAUAAUGACUGUACCACCAGAAGAAGCCCCGGCUAACUCCGUGCCAGCAGCCGCGGUAAU